CAAUAGCGUAUAUUUAAGUUGUUGCAGUUAAAAAGCUCGUAGUUGGAUGUCGGGUGGGACGCAGCGGUCUCGCAUUGCGUUUGUACUGCUGCAGCCCUCCUUCUUGCCGGGGGCGGCCUCUCGGACUUCACUGUCUGGGGGUCAGAAUCGGCGAUGUUACUUUGAGUAAAUUAGAGUGUUCAAAGCAAGCUUACGCUCUGAAUAUAAUAGCAUGGGAUAACACGACAGGACUCUGGCCUAUCGUGUUGGUCUAUAGGACCAGAGUAAUGAUUAAGAGGGACAGUCGGGGGCAUUCGUAUUCCGUUGUCAGAGGUGAAAUUCUUGGAUUUACGGAAGACGAACAUCUGCGAAAGCAUUUGCCAAGGAUGUUUUCAUUGA
RNAcentral lists this ribosomal RNA (378 nucleotides) under uncultured eukaryote. RNAcentral's name for it is "partial 18S ribosomal RNA". It matches the Rfam family "Eukaryotic small subunit ribosomal RNA", at positions 592 to 976 of the family's 1831-position model. The record is from RNAcentral.